Molecule: ribosomal RNA, 253 nt
Filed under: uncultured bacterium
Lineage: Bacteria
Description: partial 16S ribosomal RNA
Rfam family: Bacterial small subunit ribosomal RNA
Source: RNAcentral
UACGUAGGGGGCAAGCGUUGUCCGGAAUUAUUGGGCGUAAAGCGCGUGUAGGCGGUCCGGUAAGUCGGCUGUGAAAUCCCCGGGCUCAACCUGGGAAUGGCAUUUGGGACUGCAAGGCUCGAGUUUGGCAGAGGAGACUGGAAUUCCUGGUGUAGCAGUGAAAUGCGUAGAUAUCAGGAGGAAUACCGAUGGCGAAGGCAGGUCUCUGGGCUGAAACUGACGCUCAUGCACGAAAGCGUGGGGAGCAAACAGG